This 459-nucleotide ribosomal RNA is filed under the name uncultured bacterium. RNAcentral's name for it is "partial 16S ribosomal RNA". It matches the Rfam family "Bacterial small subunit ribosomal RNA", at positions 338 to 795 of the family's 1533-position model. The record is from RNAcentral.
CCUACGGUAGGCAGCAGUGAGGAAUAUUGGUCAAUGGGCGAGAGCCUGAACCAGCCAAGCCGCGUGAGGGAAGAAGGUCCUAUGGAUUGUAAACCUCUUUUGCCGGGGAGCAAAAAGCGGUACGUGUACCGCAUCGAGAGUACCCGAAGAAAAAGCAUCGGCUAACUCCGUGCCAGCAGCCGCGGUAAUACGGAGGAUGCGAGCGUUAUCCGGAUUUAUUGGGUUUAAGGGGUGCGCAGGCGGCGAGUUAAGUCAGCGGUAAAAGUGCGGGGCUCAACCCCGACAAGCCGUUGAAACUGGCGGGCUAGAGUGGGAGAGAAGUAUGUGGAAUGCGUGGUGUAGCGGUGAAAUGCGUAGAUAUCGCGCAGAACCCCGAUUGCGAAGGCAGCAUACCGGCGCCCAACUGACGCUGAGGCACGAAAGCGUGGGUAUCGAACAGGAUUAGAUACCCGAGUAGUC